Molecule: ribosomal RNA, 632 nt
Filed under: fungal endophyte
Lineage: Eukaryota; Fungi
Description: eukaryotic LSU rRNA
Rfam family: 5.8S ribosomal RNA (bases 179-332)
Source: RNAcentral
UAAAGAGUUCUAUAACUCCCAAACCCAUGUGAACAUACCUAACGUUGCCUCGGCAGGUCGCACCUACCUUGUAGCACCCUACCCUGUAGGGCCUACCCGGGAGGUGCGGGUAAGCCUGCCGGCGGCCCACCAAACUCUGUUUGAUAUUGAAUUCUGAACCUAUAACUAAAUAAGUUAAAACUUUCAACAACGGAUCUCUUGGUUCUGGCAUCGAUGAAGAACGCAGCGAAAUGCGAUAAGUAAUGUGAAUUGCAGAAUUCAGUGAAUCAUCGAAUCUUUGAACGCAUAUUGCGCCCAUUAGUAUUCUAGUGGGCAGGACCGUUCGAGCGUCAUUUCAACCCUUAAGCCUUCGUUGCUUAGUGUUGGGAGCCUACGGCAACGUAGCUCCUCAAAGUUAGUGGCGGAGUUGGUUCACACUCUAGACGUAGUAAUUUUUUAUCUCGCCUAUUAGUUGGACUAAUCCCCUGCCGUAAAACCCCCAAUUUAUAUCAAGGUUGACCUCGAAUCGGUUCAGACAAACUCGCUAAAUUGAAGCAUCUUAGUCAGCGAAGGAAAAGAAACCAACAGGGAUUGCCCUAGUAACGGCGAGUGAAGCGGCAACAGCUCAAAUUUGAAAUCUGGCCCUCGGGUCC